RNAcentral lists this long non-coding RNA (1901 nucleotides) under Callithrix jacchus (white-tufted-ear marmoset). RNAcentral's name for it is "lncRNA (ENSCJAG00000085218.1)". The record is from RNAcentral. Lineage: Eukaryota; Metazoa; Chordata; Mammalia; Primates; Cebidae.
CGCUAUGACGUGGAUUAUACCUAUUUUACAACUAGAAAAACAGAGUCCAGAGAGGUGAAAGUGCAUAGAGAGUGAAUAACAGAGUAGGGCAUUGAACUAGGUAGUCCAGCCCUGGAACUUGAGUUUUUAACCUCUGGGCCAAGGCCUGCAUAAAGGGCUGGGUGGCAGAACUGAGUGAAGUGUGUGGUUCUAGAGGAAUACCUGAGUGUGCAUUGCGGCUUCCCCAUGAUGGGUUCAAUGAUCUUGAGUAAGGCACUUAAUCAUUGGGAACCUCAGUUUGCCCAUCUGUUAAGUGGGGAUAGUAUUAAUCCUAGAAUUUAGUUCCUAGAGGUUUUGUAGGAUCAAAUGAGAUGGUACACAUGAAAUACUUAGCACAGGGCCUGGAGCACAGUGAGCACGUGAUCAGCGUUUAUUUUUUUCUUCCUUUUACAUAACUGCCCUGAUGCAGGAGUCAGCACACAGGACUGGACAGCUGGAUCAUGGGUCAGGUAGGGCCAUGGCUGCUUCUCUGCUUCCAGGUUCUACUGAGAUGUGGGGAUGGAAUAAGAACGGGCAGCAGCUGCAGCAUGGGCACCCCCAAAGGCUCCAAGAGGUACCCAGAGCAGGCAUGUAUGUUACAGGAGGGCAGCCGGAACAGGCUGGGAUCUGACCCGAGAGGAUUGUGGAACAAAGCAUGAAACCCCAGCAGGCACAGCUUUGCUUCUGUUAAGUGAGGAGCAGUCUAGAGCUCUGAGGUUCAAAGAUUCUGGACACAUCUGAAAAGUGAAAGAAGCCAGGGCACCUGGAGCACUGCAAGCGAGGAGCAAAGUGAUGGCGAUGAGGCUGGAGAGCAAGGCAGGAGCUGGGUUAUGUGCUGCCUGGGAGCCUACGGGACCAGGAAGAGGAUGUGAGUCUCCAAAUCCUUUAUGAAUCUGCUGGGCCAAGCAGAGAUUAGAUUCAGCAAUUGUAGAUGCUGCUGCUUCUAUCUCUUCUUCUAAUAUCUCAAGACAUUCUAAUUACUCCCCCUGCAGAAAGAGAGAGAGAGAGAGAAAGAGAGAGGACAAACAUAUACAGAUGGUAGGAAAGGCAACUAAAAUGAUCAAGAGGGACGGGACAGCAAUUAGGAUUCUUAAAUCUGGAAAGAUAAGACUGACAGAGGACGGGAUGAAAGCUUUUCACUUGGGAAAGAUGGAGCGUAUGUCAAAAUUCUAACAUCUUAGUCCUAAAUUCCUUCUUCUCCUCCAUCCCCGUAAAACUUGACAGGAGAUAAUUUUAGGAGAACUAAAGGGAACCCACUUUACUCAGGGAGUAGUAUUAAAUCCUGCAACUCUCUAUCCCCAAGAGACACUGCACAGGCGGAACAUGUAAAUAACCUCAAGAAGGGUUUACAAAUUUCAAAGAUUAAAGUUCCCUAAUGAGCCAGAGAGUGCAGUUCAGUAUUUUACGGUGCUACCCUUAAUCCGACACUCAGUAAGCAAGCUCCUUGCUGUUCUGAGCAGAACCAAAUAUUCCAGAUCUGAACAUUUGUAAUUCUCAGACUCAUUGGCCGUGCAGCCCUGAUGUUCAUUGCAUGUUCCAUUCUGCAGACAAGGUGGUGCGUUCAGGGGUUGUCUGUUUUUGACUGUCCUUAAAAGAUGUUCUCAACCCAUGGGGAAGAGUUUGUGCUGGGUUGUGUAAGCUACAGCUGCUGGGGAAGGAGAACUGGACUUGAGUCAGGAGCCCUGGGCUGGAGUUCUAGCACUAUUAUUUUUAAUUGUGUGGAAAUACUCAUAACACAAAGUCUGCUAUUGUAACCAUUAUUAAAGAUUACAGUUUGGUGGCACUUGGUAUAUUCACAGUGCUGUGUGAUAAUUACCACUAUCUAGUUUCAAAACAUUUUUGGCCCUUAAAAGGAAGCCCCAUUCUCUUAAGCAAUCACUGCC